This 361-nucleotide ribosomal RNA is filed under the name uncultured bacterium. RNAcentral describes it as "bacterial SSU rRNA". It matches the Rfam family "Bacterial small subunit ribosomal RNA", at positions 29 to 416 of the family's 1533-position model. The record is from RNAcentral.
AGCGAACGCUGGCGGCAGGCUUAACACAUGCAAGUCGAGCGGGCGUAGCAAUACGUCAGCGGCAGACGGGUGAGUAACGCGUGGGAACAUACCUUUUGGUUCGGAACAACACAGGGAAACUUGUGCUAAUACCGGAUAAGCCCUUACGGGGAAAGAUUUAUCGCCGAAAGAUUGGCCCGCGUCUGAUUAGCUAGUUGGUGAGGUAAUGGCUCACCAAGGCGACGAUCAGUAGCUGGCUGAGAGGAUGAUCAGCCACAUUGGGACUGAGACACGGCCCAAACUCCUACGGGAGGCAGCAGUGGGGAAUAUUGGACAAUGGGCGCAAGCCUGAUCCAGCCAUGCCGCGUGAGUGAUGAAGGCC